UUCCAUGGCUUCACGUCUGGACUAGUGGCUUGGGUGGGCUGGAGGGUAAUUCCGUCUGGGUCACAAAAAGCUCCUGGCUUCCCAUAAAGUGUGCCA
Chelonoidis abingdonii (Abingdon island giant tortoise) is the source of this 96-nucleotide non-coding RNA. Lineage: Eukaryota; Metazoa; Chordata; Testudines; Testudinidae. The record is from RefSeq and is a predicted model, not a curated record.